RNAcentral lists this long non-coding RNA (1026 nucleotides) under Chrysemys picta bellii (western painted turtle). RNAcentral describes it as "lncRNA (ENSCPBG00000022023.1)". The record is from RNAcentral. Lineage: Eukaryota; Metazoa; Chordata; Testudines; Emydidae.
CCGUUGCGUGUUAGUCCUCACCGACAACACCACGGCCAUGUUUUACAUCAACAAGCAAGGAGGAGCCCGCUCGUCGCUUCUAUGCCAAGAGGCCAUUCGCCUGUGGGACUUCUGCAUCGCCCACUCGAUACAUCUCACGGCAUCGUUCCUUCCUGGAGUCCAGAACGCUGGCGGACCGUCUCAGCAGGUCCUUCCAGACACACGAGUGGUCAAUUCGCCCGGACAUCAUCUAUUCCAUCUUCCAGAGGUGGGGAUUUCCCCAGGUCGACCUGUUUGCAUCUCGAGCCAACAGGAAGUGCCACGCGUUCUGCUCCCUACAAGGGCGAGCUCUGGGCUCUCUGUCGGACGCGUUCCUUCUAUCCUGGAAAGACCACCUGUUCUACGCUUUUCCUCCACUUCCACUGGUCCACUGGGUACUGCUCAAGCUACGCAGAGACCAAGCACGGGUAAUUCUAGUCGCUCCAGCUUGGCCAAGGCAGCACUGGUACACCACACUGUUGGAGCUAUUGGUUCAAACACCGAUCACACUUCCCUUGGGUCCAGAUCUCAUCUCUCAGGACCACGGCCGACUAUGUCACCCCGACCUGCAAUUGCUCCACCUCACAGCGUGGAUGCUCCAUGGCUGAAUCGGACAGAGCGGCAAUGCUCGCAUUCCGUCCAACAGAUUCUGCUGGGAAGUAGAAAGUCCUCUACACGGACCACUUACUUAGCCAAGUGGAAACGGUUCUCCUGUUGGUGCGAGCAGCGAGCCACGCCCCCCUUGCAGGCGCCUAUUCCUCUUAUUCUUGAAUAUCUCCUCUCCCUAAAACAGCAGGGCUUGGCAAUAUCUUCAAUCAGGGUUCACCUGGCUGCUAUUUCGGCAUUCCACCCAGGAGAACUCGCUUCCUCAGUCUUCUCUAACCCAAUGGUCGUUAGAUUCCUCAAGGGCUUAGACCAACUGUACCCGCAGCAACGCCAGCCCGUUCCGACGUGGGAUCUCAACCUGGUUCUCUCCAAGCUCACAGGGCCUCCGUUCGAGCCAUUGGC